This 203-nucleotide unclassified non-coding RNA is filed under the name Hevea brasiliensis (rubber tree). Lineage: Eukaryota; Viridiplantae; Streptophyta; Magnoliopsida; Malpighiales; Euphorbiaceae. The record is from RNAcentral.
GGAACUGCUACCUUCAUCAGACUGAGUUCCAAUGAUGAAGGCAAACUUGCGGUCUUUGGAUUUAUGAACAGAGAUUCUGCUGCAUCAAUCCGAAGUGUCUCAUCAAUAUGGGUAAGUGCCAAAACCAGAUAUUUCUCUGGGACUUUUAUUUCAAUCCCCUUGAUGCAGACAGUAGCAUCUUUUUUUUCCAAGUUCUGCUUCAC